AAGGAAAGCUCUUUGUUUUUUGAAAGGGUGCUUUUAUGAGAUAGAGCUUUUUUAGAUAAUGCUUUUUUAGAUAAUGCUGGGGAAGGUUUUCCGGUUUAUCUCGGAGGGCUUGUAGCUCAGUUGGUUAGAGCGCGCGCUUGAUAAGCGUGAGGUCGGAGGUUCAAGUCCUCCCAGGCCCACCAAUUUACCUAUCCAUUUGCCUUUAUCUGUUUAUUUGCCGAUUUAUCGGUCCAUUGAAUUUAAGUGUUGGUAGCAGUUUUAUAAUGAUGAGAAAUCAUGCUUAUAAAAGAACUCCUUAUAAAAGGCUUGUUUUUAAAAUGUGACGCUUAUCCAUUUCGCUUAGGUAAGAGAAACUUCAAGCGGUUCAAAUACAAAAGGCUUUAAGUUUUGCAAAACACUUUGAAUUUUGCAAAACACUUUGAAUUUUAAAGUGAUCCAAGUUCGUGAUCUCGAAUUUAAAAGUUUCGAAUGCUUUAUCCUUUUUUGGGGGCCGUAGCUCAGCUGGGAGAGCACCUGCUUUGCAAGCAGGGGGUCGUCGGUUCA
Molecule: unclassified non-coding RNA, 543 nt
Filed under: uncultured Bartonella sp.
Lineage: Bacteria; Pseudomonadati; Pseudomonadota; Alphaproteobacteria; Hyphomicrobiales; Bartonellaceae
Description: partial 16S-23S ribosomal RNA intergenic spacer
Rfam family: tRNA (bases 106-179)
Source: RNAcentral